AUCGCUUCUCGGCCUUUUGGCUAAGAUCAAGUGUAGUAUCUGUUCUUAUCAGUUUAAUAUCUGAUAUUUUUUUUGGGCAGUGGUGGCCUAGCGGUU
This is a small nuclear RNA of 96 nucleotides. Its record names the gene U2. It matches the Rfam family "U2 spliceosomal RNA". From Rfam's summary of the family: U2 is a small nuclear RNA (snRNA) component of the spliceosome (involved in pre-mRNA splicing). The record is from Ensembl.